This 484-nucleotide ribosomal RNA is filed under the name uncultured bacterium. RNAcentral describes it as "partial 16S ribosomal RNA". It matches the Rfam family "Bacterial small subunit ribosomal RNA", at positions 29 to 507 of the family's 1533-position model. The record is from RNAcentral.
AUUGAACGCUGGCGGAAUGCUUUACACAUGCAAGUCGAACGGCAGCACGGGGGCAGCCCUGGCGGCGAGUGGCGAACGGGUGAGUAAUACAUCGGAACGUGCCCGGUCGUGGGGGAUAACGUAGCGAAAGUUACGCUAAUACCGCAUACGAUCUGAGGAUGAAAGCGGGGGACCUUCGGGCCUCGCGCGAUCGGAGCGGCCGAUGUCAGAUUAGGUAGUUGGUGGGGUAAAGGCCUACCAAGCCGACGAUCUGUAGCUGGUCUGAGAGGACGACCAGCCACACUGGGACUGAGACACGGCCCAGACUCCUACGGGAGGCAGCUGUGGGGAAUUUGGGACAAUGGGCGCAAGCCUGAUCCAGCCAUGCCGCGUGCAGGACGAAGGCCUUCGGGUUGUAAACUGCUUUUGUACGGAACGAAAAGGCUCUGGCUAAUACCUGGGGCUCAUGACGGUACCGUAAGAAUAAGCACCGGCUAACUACGUG